ACAGUCAGCAGUGAGACUCCUACGGGACCCAGCAGUAGGACACACUCCUAUGGGAGUCAUCAGUGAGGCCCAAUCGUAAGUCAUACAGCAGUCAGACUCCUACGAAAUCCAUCUUUCUCAUUCCUAAGGGGGAAAACAGAGUCAUUCCUACGGCAGGCAGCAGUCCCACUCCUACUCCCUGCAGCAGGGAGNCUCCUACGGGAGGUUCCAGUGGGUA
This 217-nucleotide unclassified non-coding RNA is filed under the name uncultured bacterium. RNAcentral describes it as "partial contains 16S ribosomal RNA and 16S-23S ribosomal RNA intergenic spacer region". The record is from RNAcentral.